Molecule: long non-coding RNA, 995 nt
Organism: Ananas comosus (pineapple)
Lineage: Eukaryota; Viridiplantae; Streptophyta; Magnoliopsida; Poales; Bromeliaceae
Exons: 2
Source: RefSeq, a predicted model, not a curated record
UUUUGGUCGGAUGUGCUUUAUAUUCUUAGGCUUUAACCUUUUACAAAGUAGCUACCAUCAUGCCCAUAACAGCAUAUAUAGAACAUUUUGGCUUUUAUGUCAUUCGAAAUUCUCCUGCGAUGUUCCUUGGCGUUCGUUAUCAUAAAAUUCCAACUAUGAAAUGGCGAAUCCUAUCACGCAAUUGUUCAGAAUCUGUCAGCGUUCUCAAAUUUCCACAUCAGCGGAGGACAGAGCCAAAAGGACAAUAGCGAAGUGCCUCAGGUAUAUUUUGUCAAUGUGAAAAGCAUCCGAUGCGGGUUAACUUUUCCCCCCACUUUCGUUCUCAAUUGGAAUGAUUCAAAUCUCGCUGAGAUAUCUUUCAGAUUCACCACCAAUUGAAGGUAAUCUCAUCGCAGGUAGAAUUUUUCUUUUUUUUUGCCGAGCCACUGUGGGUUCGCAUCUUUUAUCUUUGUAUAACAUAUCACAAGUUGCCCAAGGGCUUUUUCUGUGAAAUAGAAAGGAAAAAAAAAAAAAUUAUUCAUCUCAGGUUAGUGGAAUAUGUAUUUAUUGUUGUGCUAAAAAAUUGAAUGAUAUAUAGAAAGAAAAGGAGUUUAAAAUAUCGUAUUUUGGUUGCUUACGGUUUUAGAGAAAAUUGGUUGUUUUACAUUUAAUGAGAAUAGGAAGUUUUGAGUUCAAAUUUUAAUUGGGGCCUCUAGUCUCAUUCAGACUCUGUCCAACUUAUUUUGAAAAUCCAGGUGUUGCAGACAAAAUCGCCCUCAUGCAUGGGGCAAUGUUGACUAAUGUAGAUAGCUACUUCCAAAUCGUGUUUUAGUAGUGUUUUAAGUCGUUAAAGAAAAAAGAAAAAAAAAAAAAAGGAAAGAAAAAAAAAAAGGGUUAGGUCCAUGAAGGAUAAAUUGCAUUGCCACUAACUUGGUAGGUGUAGUCAAGUUUCGUUUUGGUCAUUGGAAUUCAAAGUUUGUCCCUUUGAUGCGUCUCGUAGUGUUAAGAAAAAAAAA